AAAGAUUCUUCGGAUGAUUUCCUAUUUGACUGAGCGGCGGACGGGUGAGUAACGCGUGGGUAACCUGCCUCAUACAGGGGGAUAACAGUUAGAAAUGACUGCUAAUACCGCAUAAGCGCACAGUACCGCAUGGCUCAGUGGGAAAAACUCCGGUGGUAUGAGAUGGACCCGCGUCUGAUUAGCUGGUUGGUGAGGUAACGGCCCACCAAGGCGACGAUCAGUAGCCGGCCUGAGAGGGUGAACGGCCACAUUGGGACUGAGACACGGCCCAAACUCC
Molecule: ribosomal RNA, 277 nt
Filed under: uncultured Eubacteriales bacterium
Lineage: Bacteria; Bacillati; Bacillota; Clostridia; Eubacteriales
Description: uncultured Clostridiales bacterium partial 16S ribosomal RNA
Rfam family: Bacterial small subunit ribosomal RNA
Source: RNAcentral